AUUGAACGCUGGCGGCAGGCUUAACACAUGCAAGUCGAGCGGGGGAAGGUAGCUUGCUACUGGACCUAGCGGCGGACGGGUGAGUAAUGCUUAGGAAUCUGCCUAUUAGUGGGGGACAACAUCUCGAAAGGGAUGCUAAUACCGCAUACGUCCUACGGGAGAAAGCAGGGGAUCUUCGGACCUUGCGCUAAUAGAUGAGCCUAAGUCGGAUUAGCUAGUUGGUGGGGUAAAGGCCUACCAAGGCGACGAUCUGUAGCGGGUCUGAGAGGAUGAUCCGCCAAACUGGGACUGGGACACGGCCCAGACGCCUACGGGAGGCAGCAGUGGGGAAUAUUGGACAAUGGGGGGAACCCUGAUCCAGCCAUGCCGCGUGUGUGAAGAAGGCCUUAUGGUUGUAAAGCACUUUAAGCGAGGAGGAGGCUACUCUAGUUAAUACCUAGGGAUAGUGGACGUUACUCGCAGAAUAAGCACCGGCUAACUCUGUGCCAGCCGCCGCGGUAA
RNAcentral lists this ribosomal RNA (501 nucleotides) under uncultured bacterium. RNAcentral's name for it is "partial 16S ribosomal RNA". It matches the Rfam family "Bacterial small subunit ribosomal RNA", at positions 30 to 523 of the family's 1533-position model. The record is from RNAcentral.